CUUCUCAGAAGUGACUUCCGUCCAGCUCGGCAUGGCGGCAGUCACUGCCGUCACUUAGUCGCCGAUCAAGGCUUGGACUAAGGGCCCACGGUCACUCGAGUAGGACUUGGAUCGGAUGCUGAAUAAAACUCACCGUGAAGCAAGUCCCACUGAACGAAAAGUUGGUCGUAGCAUUUCUCAGCAGCUGCUUCCGGCUCCCUGAGACCCAGCCAUGGAAGGCAUAGAAAGGCAUGUGACAAGAAACUCAUGGCUUUUAAUCCUGGCAGGACAAGGAAAACCCCGUCAAAGAUUUGCAUAAAUUUUGCUGCUCUCCUGCUGGGGGGGGGGGGGGGGCAGUUCGUCACAUUUAAUAAAAUUCUCUCCCUCCCUUC
This is a long non-coding RNA of Homo sapiens (human), 371 nucleotides long. Ensembl annotates it as MPDU1 antisense RNA 1. Its record names the gene MPDU1-AS1. NCBI's taxonomy places the organism in Eukaryota, Metazoa, Chordata, Mammalia, Primates, Hominidae. The record is from Ensembl.